This 483-nucleotide ribosomal RNA is filed under the name uncultured bacterium. RNAcentral describes it as "partial 16S ribosomal RNA". It matches the Rfam family "Bacterial small subunit ribosomal RNA", at positions 28 to 507 of the family's 1533-position model. The record is from RNAcentral.
GAUGAACGCUGGCGGCGUGCCUAACACAUGCAAGUCGAACGGAGUCGUUUUGGAAAUCUCUUCGGAGAUGGAAUUCUCGACUUAGUGGCGGACGGGUGAGUAACGCGUGAGCAAUCUGCCUUUAAGAGGGGGAUAACAGUCGGAAACGGCUGCUAAUACCGCAUAAAGCAUUCAAUUCGCAUGUUUUUGAUGCCAAAGGAGCAAUCCGCUUUUAGAUGAGCUCGCGUCUGAUUAGCUAGUUGGCGGGGUAACGGCCCACCAAGGCGACGAUCAGUAGCCGGACUGAGAGGUUGAACGGCCACAUUGGGACUGAGACACGGCCCAGACUCCUACGGGAGGCAGCAGUGGGGAAUAUUGCGCAAUGGGGGAAACCCUGACGCAGCAACGCCGCGUGAUUGAAGAAGGCCUUCGGGUUGUAAAGAUCUUUAAUCAGGGACGAAACAAAUGACGGUACCUGAAGAAUAAGCUCCGGCUAACUACGUG